UGUAGCUCAAUGGUAAAGUGCCUGCCUCACAUGCAGGAGGACCUGGGUUUAAAUCCUAGCA
This 61-nucleotide transfer RNA is filed under the name Heterocephalus glaber (naked mole-rat). It matches the Rfam family "tRNA", at positions 6 to 65 of the family's 71-position model. From Rfam's summary of the family: Transfer RNA (tRNA) molecules are approximately 80 nucleotides in length. Lineage: Eukaryota; Metazoa; Chordata; Mammalia; Rodentia; Bathyergidae. The record is from Rfam by way of RNAcentral.